Molecule: long non-coding RNA, 1623 nt
Organism: Oncorhynchus keta (chum salmon)
Lineage: Eukaryota; Metazoa; Chordata; Actinopteri; Salmoniformes; Salmonidae
Exons: 3
Source: RefSeq, a predicted model, not a curated record
UUUGAGACAUGUUUCAUAUUAGGAGACAGCACAGAAUGUCACCUUUCAUUUGAGGGAAUUCAUACACAUAUUUUACCGUUUAGAUAUGAAUAGUGAAUAAUGAUGAAUAACAAAGUUAUAGAGGCACAAAUAUCAGUAUAAAUUCUAAUCUCCUCUGUUAUUGGUAAUGGUGAGAGGUUAGCAUGUUUUGUUGUAGUCUCUGUUAUUGGUAAUGGUGAGAGGUUAGCAUGUUUUGUUGUAGUCUCUGUUAUUGGUAAUGGAGAGAGGUUAGCAUGUUUUGUUGUAGUCUCUGUUAUUGGUAAUGGUGAGAGGUUAGUAUGUUUUGUUGUAACCUCUGUUAUUGGUAAUGGUGAGAGGUUAGCAUGUUUUGUUGUAGUCUCUGUUAUUGGUAAUGGUGAGAGGUUAGCAUGUUUUGUUGUAGUCUCUGUUAUUGGUAAUGGUGAGAGGUUAGCAUGUUUUGUUGUAGCCUCUGUUAUUGGUAAUGGUGAGAGGUUAGCAUGUUUUGUUGUAGCCUCUGUUAUUGGUAAUGGUGAGAGGUUAGCAUGUUUUGUUGUAGUCUCUGUUAUUGGUAAUGGUGAGAGGUUAGUAUGUUUUGUUGUAGUCUCUGUUAUUGGUAAUGGUGAGAGGUUAGCAUGUUUUGUUGUAGUCUCUGUUAUUGGUAAUGGUGAGAGGUUAGCAUGUUUUGUUGUAGCCUCUGUUAUUGGUAAUGGUGAGAGGUUAGCAUGUUUUGUUGUAGUCUCUGUUAUUGGUAAUGGUGAGAGGUUAGCAUGUUUUGUUGUAGCCUCUGUUAUUGGUAAUGGUGAGAGGUUAGCAUGUUUUGUUGUAGCCUCUGUUAUUGGUAAUGGUGAGAGGUUAGCAUGUUUUGUUGUAGCCUCUGUUGUUGGUAAUGGUUAGAGGUUAGCAUGUUUUGUUGUAGCCUCUGUUAUUGGUCAUGGUGAGAGGUUAGCAUGUUUUGUUGUAGCCUCUGUUAUUGGUAAUGGCAAGAGGUUGGCAUGUUUUGUUGUAGCCUCUGUUAUUGGUAAUGGUGAGAGGUUAGCAUGUUUUGUUGUAGCCUCUGUUAUUGGUAAUGGUGAGAGGUUAGCAUGUUUUGUUGUAGCCUCUGUUGUUGGUAAUGGUUAGAGGUUAGCAUGUUUUGUUGUAGCCUCUGUUAUUGGUAAUGGUUAGAGGUUAGCAUGUUUUGUUGAAGCCUCUGUUAUUGGUAAUGGUGAGAGGUUAGCAUGUUUUGUUGUAGCCUCUGUUAUUGGUAAUGGUGAGAGGUUAGCAUGUUUUGUUGUAGUCUCUGUUAUUGGUAAUGGUGAGAGGUUAGCAUGUUUUGUUGUAGUCUCUGUUAUUGGUAAUGGUGAGAGGUUAGCAUGUUUUGUUGUAGCCUCUGUUAUUGGUAAUGGUGAGAGGUUAGCAUGUUUUGUUGUAGCCUCUGUUAUUGGUAAUGGUUAGAGGUUAGCAUGUUUUGUUGAAGCCUCUGUUAUUGGUAAUGGUGAGAGGUUAGCAUGUUUUGUUGUAGCCUCUGUUAUUGGUAAUGGUGAGAGGUUAGCAUGUUUUGUUGUAGUCUCUGUUAUUGGUAAUGGUGAGAGGUUAGCAUGUUUUGUUGUAGUCUCUGUUAUUGGUAAUGGUGAGAGGUUAGCA